GGCGGGAUAGUUUAAAUAAAAAUAUCGGUUUUGUACACCGGGGAUCCUUUAGGGCCUGCCU
RNAcentral lists this transfer RNA (61 nucleotides) under Khawia sinensis. Its description in RNAcentral is "tRNA-Thr". The record is from RNAcentral. Lineage: Eukaryota; Metazoa; Platyhelminthes; Cestoda; Caryophyllidea; Lytocestidae.